GGAGGGAUAGCGAAGCCUGGCCAAACGCACAGGACUCAAGAUCCCGUCCCUUAGGGGUUCGUGGGUUCGAAUCCCACUCCCUCCACCA
Molecule: transfer RNA, 88 nt
Filed under: Thermoproteota archaeon
Lineage: Archaea; Thermoproteati; Thermoproteota
Description: tRNA-Leu
Rfam family: tRNA
About the family: Transfer RNA (tRNA) molecules are approximately 80 nucleotides in length.
Source: RNAcentral